AYAUGAUUCCCUAGUAGCGGCGAGCGAAGCGGGAAGAGCUCAAAUUUAUAAUCUGGCACCUUCGGUGUCCGAGUUGUAAUCUCUAGAAAUGUUUUCCGCGCUGGACCGCACACAAGUCUGUUGGAAUACAGCGGCAUAGUGGUGAGACCCCCGUAUAUGGUGCGGACGCCCAGCGCUUUGUGAUACAUUUUCGAAGAGUCGAGUUGUUUGGGAAUGCAGCUCAAAUUGGGUGGUAAAUUCCAUCUAAAGCUAAAUAUUGGCGAGAGACCGAUAGCGAACAAGUACCGUGAGGGAAAGAUGAAAAGCACUUUGGAAAGAGAGUUAACAGUACGUGAAAUUGUUGGAAGGGAAACGCUUGAAGUCAGACUUGCUUGCCGAGCAAUCGGUUUGCAGGCCAGCAUCAGUUUUCCGGGAUGGAUAAUGGUAGAGAGAAGGUAGCAGUUUCGGCUGUGUUAUAGCUCUCUGCUGGAUACAUCUUGGGGGACUGAGGAACGCAGUGUGCCUUUGGCGGGGGUUUCGACCUCUUCACACUUAGGAUGCUGGUGGAAUGGCUUUAAACGACCCGUCUUGAAMMMACGGGACMAA
This 585-nucleotide ribosomal RNA is filed under the name Rhodotorula mucilaginosa. Its description in RNAcentral is "partial large subunit ribosomal RNA". It matches the Rfam family "Eukaryotic large subunit ribosomal RNA", at positions 69 to 664 of the family's 3401-position model. Lineage: Eukaryota; Fungi; Basidiomycota; Microbotryomycetes; Sporidiobolales; Sporidiobolaceae. The record is from RNAcentral.